RNAcentral lists this ribosomal RNA (460 nucleotides) under uncultured Desulfosporosinus sp. Its description in RNAcentral is "bacterial SSU rRNA". It matches the Rfam family "Bacterial small subunit ribosomal RNA", at positions 926 to 1382 of the family's 1533-position model. The record is from RNAcentral. Lineage: Bacteria; Bacillati; Bacillota; Clostridia; Eubacteriales; Desulfitobacteriaceae.
CAAGCGGUGGAGCAUGUGGUUUAAUUCGACGCAACGCGUAAGAACCUUACCAGGGCUUGACAUCUACAGAAUCUUGAGGAAACUCAGGAGUGCCCUUCGGGGAACUGUAAGACAGGUGGUGCAUGGUUGUCGUCAGCUCGUGUCGUGAGAUGUUGGGUUAAGUCCCGCAACGAGCGCAACCCCUAUGUUUAGUUGCUAGCGAGUAAAGUCGAGCACUCUAGACAGACUGCCGGUGAUAAACCGGAGGAAGGUGGGAUGACGUCAAAUCAUCAUGCCCCUUAUGUUCUGGGCUACACACGUGCUACAAUGGCCGGUACAAACGGAAGCGAAGCCGCGAGGUGAAGCAAAUCUGAUAAAACCGGUCUCAGUUCGGAUUGCAGGCUGCAACUCGCCUGCAUGAAGUCGGAAUCGCUAGUAAUCGCAGGUCAGCAUACUGCGGUCGAAUACGUUCCCGGGCCUU